CCUGGUGAAGAUAGCGCGAGUGAAACACACGAUCCCAUCCCGAACUCGAAAGUGAAACCUCGUUGCGCCGAUGGUACUUUAGUUUACUACGGGAGAGUAGGAAAUUGCCAGGC
RNAcentral lists this ribosomal RNA (113 nucleotides) under Candidatus Megaera endosymbiont of Hartmannula sinica. The record is from RNAcentral. Lineage: Bacteria; Pseudomonadati; Pseudomonadota; Alphaproteobacteria; Rickettsiales; Rickettsiaceae.